Molecule: ribosomal RNA, 657 nt
Filed under: uncultured Escherichia sp.
Lineage: Bacteria; Pseudomonadati; Pseudomonadota; Gammaproteobacteria; Enterobacterales; Enterobacteriaceae
Description: bacterial SSU rRNA
Rfam family: Bacterial small subunit ribosomal RNA
Source: RNAcentral
AUUGAACGCUGGCGGCAGGCCUAACACAUGCAAGUCGGACGGUAACAGGAAGAAGCUUGCUUCUUUGCUGACGAGUGGCGGACGGGUGAGUAAUGUCUGGGAAACUGCCUGAUGGAGGGGGAUAACUACUGGAAACGGUAGCUAAUACCGCAUAACGUCGCAAGACCAAAGAGGGGGACCUUCGGGCCUCUUGCCACCGGAUGUGCCCAGAUGGGAUUAGCUUGUUGGUGGGGUAACGGCUCACCAAGGCGACGAUCCCUAGCUGGUCUGAGAGGAUGACCAGCCACACUGGAACUGAGACACGGUCCAGACUCCUACGGGAGGCAGCAGUGGGGAAUAUUGCACAAUGGGCGCAAGCCUGAUGCAGCCAUGCCGCGUGUAUGAAGAAGGCCUUCGGGUUGUAAAGUACUUUCAGCGGGGAGGAAGGGAGUAAAGUUAAUACCUUUGCUCAUUGACGUUACCCGCAGAAGAAGCACCGGCUAACUCCGUGCCAGCAGCCGCGGUAAUACGGAGGGUGCAAGCGUUAAUCGGAAUUACUGGGCGUAAAGCGCACGCAGGCGGUUUGUUAAGUCAGAUGUGAAAUCCCCGGGCUCAACCUGGGAACUGCAUCUGAUACUGGCAAGCUUGAGUCUCGUAGAGGGGGGUAGAAUUCCAGGU